GAUUGUCGCAAGCCAUCCUUGGGCUGUGUGUGACCUGGGCGCAACAGAGCUUUAUGAGGGGACAGGUCUGGAGGUGGAGUCUGCGCUCUCGGAUGUGAGGGUCAACUGUAUUUUGAUUCCUUCAUUGAUUUUGUAAUAUUCUGUAAUAUUGUGUGAUAACAGUAAAGCUUACCUCAAAGGACCUCAUACUAUCUCCAUCUUAGACUUCAGUCACUUUCUGUCUACAGUGGAUGAACACACCAUCCAGCCCCCCUACAACUCAGCUAACUGGGCUGAGCCUGGAAGUGCGCCUCUCCUCUGGCUCUGCCUGUGAUCGCACACAGCACCUGGGAUGGGUGUGACUUGCCAAGGUAUCAGUCAAUCUGCUGACCAAGACAUUGCAAAGCAAAACCCCACCUUUGAAAUCUUACCCCUGCCUUAUUUGGUGAGAACAUUCCAUCCAAUCUCCUUUAUGGGUCCCCCUAUAAAAAUAAAGGGAUUCCGGGUGCACGCUGUCUUUCCUAGCCCACCCUCGGGGUCGCAGAGCCCUACCUCCAUCAGAGACUCAGUUCCGUGUGUUGCGUGAUUUCUUUGCCCUUUUCUUAUCUUAGGGUUGCAGCCAGCUCUUGGGAGCCCUGUUCAUCUCAUCAGGGCGGGCAGCUGGCGAGGGCUGGUCAUCUCAGUUCUGCUUCUGGCGAGGUGGCUGCUGGAAACUUCUUAUCUCUGGAGGGCCGACUUCCACUGCUGGCUGCUCGGGAUGUGUCUCUGUCGCCUCUGCAGGAGGCACCUCGGUUCCCCGGUUCCCUGAGGAACCCCCUCCUCUCAGCGAUGAUGGUGACAUGUCUGCGUGUCUUCGAGGCUCUGCUGUGCAGAGCCACUGCAGGCAUCUGGAACAGGAGGCUGCAAAUCUGGUCCCCAGUCUUGAAGGGGGACGAGAGGUUAGCAACCUUAGCCCAGCCACUGGGACUGCUCUGCCGUGGGACCACGGGGCCUUUGCUCAGCCUCGCUCCCUGGUGUUUCACCAUUACCACAUGCUCGGCAGUUGAGACAUGUGAACCCCAGAAAGGCGACCUAAGUUGGUGACCAAAAGAAUGAGCUCAUUCAGACCACUGCCUCUUCUUAACCGAGAAAGUUACCUAACCUCUCUGAGCCCAUUUCCUCAUCUGGAAAAUAGAAUGAUGAUAACAUCCUAUUUCAUCAGGAUAUUGUGAGGGGUAAGUUAAUCUAUGUAGAGCUUGAAAAAUAUUAGUCAUCUACAAUUAAGGGGACCAAGUGUACCAGAUUGGUGGGAUUGAGGAGUUUCUGGAGACAUGGAAUUUUUAGUAUUAAAGUCAGGUAAGGAGCGGAGCGGGAGGCCGGACCCGGGAGCCGAGCGGCGGUGGCGGUAAUGGCGGAGCUGGUGCAGGGACAGAGCGCUCCGGUGGGCAUGAAGGCCGAGGGCUUCGUGGACGCCCUGCACCGGGUCCGGCAGAAAGCCACAGGACUCACUUGUGUUAGAAGGCCUCCACUCCAGAGCUUGAAGAUGUGGUCUUUCGGUCUCUUUCCAGUAUUCCAGGGGAGGCAUCCUGUCUGUCUCCCACAUACUGACUUUUCAUGUUAAUAUUGAUGCUCCUGUAGACAUUAUAUUGGAUCCCAGAACUUUCCAAACCUGUGGUUUCACCUAAAAUUUUGUCUGACUAAUUGUUACUUACUGCCCAGGUACCAACUGUUACUGUAGUAUCUCCAUCUUAGACUUCAGUCACCUUCUGUCUACAGUGGAUGAACAUACCAUCCAGCCCCCCUACAACACUGCUUGCUACUUUCCUCUGCAGUACAGGGUCCUCGACCUUGUUUCUCACUGGCUACUAAUAUGUAAUGCCUAUCACUCUGUGCUGAUAUGUGACAAUCACCUUGUUGGCCUUCUGUGUCCUGGAAGAAUUGUAGCCACUACCUUAAAGAGCUCAGAUCCUCAGUUUGCAGAAGGCCUGUAAUUGAACAUAAAAUGAUUUUGAAACAUUGCGAAGACUUUCUACUUCUCUUGAGGCAGUGGUUGAACUCAUACUCUCGGACAACCUGCUCAAGAGGGAGACUCUCAGGUGUUAAAUGCUGACUUAAUGUGGAUUGUUGAAGCAGUGCUGUUUACUACUAGCAGUGACACUUCAUUGGAAUUGUUCUCAGCUUUGAGAUGCACCAUUGACUGGAGCCAUAAUAGCCCAAUGGAGCCAGGGCUGUUAAGUGUGUUCCUUCUGAAUGUUAUCAGCUGGAGGUCCAUACUAUCUUCAAGGAUUUGAUGGCCUUUAAAAACUAAAGAAAAAAAAACAGGUUUGUGGGUAAUUUUAGGUUUAUUUUACAGUUCGUAUUGGGCAAGAAUGGAAUGUUAGAAAUCUGUAAUAUUGUGUGAUAACAGUAAAGCUUACCUCAAAGGACCAUCUGGGUGGUCAUGGUUUUCCUUCUCCAUAGUAUAUAUAAGCAUGUUGCAGAAACUUGAUCCCCUUGCCCCCCAGCAAGUGGAAAUAGAGACAGUAUAUUUCUUUAUGUGAGUGACUAUAGACCUCCCGCCUCUUAUAUGUCCUUGUAAAUACCAGCGACUGUAGGACCUUCAUACUUUUGUUAAGAAAGUUGUAAGCUGGGCCGGGGAUGUGGCUCAAGCGGUAGCGCGCUCGCCUGGCAUGCGUGCGGCCCGGGUUCGAUCCUCAGCACCACAUACAAAACAAAGAUGUUGUAUCU
Marmota monax (woodchuck) is the source of this 2685-nucleotide long non-coding RNA. RefSeq lists it as uncharacterized. The record is from RefSeq and is a predicted model, not a curated record. The transcript has 3 exons. Lineage: Eukaryota; Metazoa; Chordata; Mammalia; Rodentia; Sciuridae.